RNAcentral lists this ribosomal RNA (497 nucleotides) under uncultured bacterium. RNAcentral's name for it is "partial 16S ribosomal RNA". It matches the Rfam family "Bacterial small subunit ribosomal RNA", at positions 28 to 507 of the family's 1533-position model. The record is from RNAcentral.
GAUGAACGCUGGCGGCGUGCCUAAUACAUGCAAGUCGAGCGAACGGACGAGAAGCUUGCUUCUCUGAUGUUAGCGGCGGACGGGUGAGUAACACGUGGAUAACCUACCUAUAAGACUGGGAUAACUUCGGGAAACCGGAGCUAAUACCGGAUAAUAUUUUGAACCGCAUGGUUCAAAAGUGAAAGACGGUCUUGCUGUCACUUAUAGAUGGAUCCGCGCUGCAUUAGCUAGUUGGUAAGGUAACGGCUUACCAAGGCAACGAUGCAUAGCCGACCUGAGAGGGGGGUCGGGCAAACUUGAAAUGGGACACGGGCCAGACUCCUACGGGAGGCAGAAGGAGGGAAUCUUUCGCAAUGGGGGAAAGGCUGAAGGAGCAAAGCCGCGGGAGGGAUGAAGGUCUUCGGAUUGUAAAACUCUGUUAUUAGGGAAGAAAAAAUGUGUAAGUAACUAGGCACGUCUUGACGGGACCUAAACAGAAAGCCACGGCUAACCACGGG